UUCAACGAUGCAGCGAGUCGCGAAUCACUCUGAAGAUUCCUUUGUAUUUUUGAGCCAGACAUUUUGAAGCCUCCAAAAGGUGCCUGAGGAAUUCCACCAUAAUAACAGUUGACCCUGAAGGAAAUCAGCAGGUUGGAGUAAAUCGCAAUUUAAGAGUGUUACAUUGAUAUUUCAUGCAUGUUUACAAAAUCUGUCUUCCCAGUCUAUUCAAUGUAAAACCCUUAAUGUAUUUUGUAAUCAGUUAAGAUCUUUUGCCAGGUAUUUCUUGAACCGUGAAGUAUUUUAGAAAUCAAACUGUCCAUUUUUGAGUCUUUUUUUUUUUUUU
Molecule: long non-coding RNA, 325 nt
Organism: Orbicella faveolata
Lineage: Eukaryota; Metazoa; Cnidaria; Anthozoa; Scleractinia; Merulinidae
Source: RefSeq, a predicted model, not a curated record